CAACCCUUGAUGGGCUCCGCUGCCGGACUGAAGGUGUGGAUCAGAUUUAACAAGAAUGAAGGAUGUCUGCGCAGUUCAUGGAGUGCCUGAUGGAAGGACGGGAUUCUAAAAACAGUUGCGGUUCAGCCCCUAGAGGCCUGUCCACCCUUCAAAUGGUGGGAGAGGAGGGUGAGGAGGUUGAUCCAGCGGAGCGUCAUUUUGUUAGGAAGCAGCAGCAGCACAGAAGAUGGUGUAAGGAGUGCAGGCCUCAAACAUACCACAAGAGCCAACCCAGGACCUUACCUGCUCUGCCUGGAAACAGGCCUCAUCCCAGGCCGCCUUAUCUGUUAUUUAUGGAUAGCUGCACCACAAAGGGCACGAAGUAGAAAAUGGCCGACAGUGGGGUAACUCGC
Molecule: long non-coding RNA, 392 nt
Organism: Polypterus senegalus (gray bichir)
Lineage: Eukaryota; Metazoa; Chordata; Cladistia; Polypteriformes; Polypteridae
Exons: 3
Source: RefSeq, a predicted model, not a curated record